GUGGGGAAUAUUGGACAAUGGGCGAAAGCCUGAUCCAGCCAUGCCGCGUGUGUGAAGAAGGUCUUCGGAUUGUAAAGCACUUUAAGUUGGGAGGAAGGGCAGUAAGUUAAUACCUUGCUGUUUUGACGUUACCAACAGAAUAAGCACCGGCUAACUUCGUGCCAGCAGCCGCGGUAAUACGAAGGGUGCAAGCGUUAAUCGGAAUUACUGGGCGUAAAGCGAGCGUAGGUGGUUCAGCAAGUUGAAGGUGAAAUCCCCGGGCGCAACCUGGGAACUGCCUCCAAAACUACUGAGCUAGAGUACGGUAGAGGGUAGUGGAAUUUCCUGUGUAGCGGUGAAAUGCGUAGAUAUAGGAAGGAACACCAGUGGCGAAGGCGACUACCUGGACUGAUACUGACACUGAGGUGCGAAAGCGUGGGGAGCAAACAGGAUUAGAUACCCGAGUAGUCC
Molecule: ribosomal RNA, 450 nt
Filed under: uncultured bacterium
Lineage: Bacteria
Description: partial 16S ribosomal RNA
Rfam family: Bacterial small subunit ribosomal RNA
Source: RNAcentral